CUACGGGCGGCUGCAGUGAGGAAUAUUGCACAAUGGGGGAAACCCUGAUGCUGCAACGCCGCGUGGAGGAUGACGCAUUUCGGUGUGUAAACUCCUUUUAUCAGAGAAGAAAAUGACGGUAUCUGAUGAAUAAGCUCCGGCUAACUCCGUGCCAGCAGCCGCGGUAAUACGGAGGGAGCAAGCGUUAUUCGGAAUCACUGGGCGUAAAGGACGCGUAGGCGGGUUUUUAAGUCAGGUGUGAAAUCCUACAGCUCAACUGUAGAACUGCACUUGAAACUGGGAACCUAGAGUAUGGAAGGGGCAGGUGGAAUUAGUGGUGUAGGGGUAAAAUCCGUAGAUAUCACUAGGAAUACCGAAAGCGAAGGCGACCUGCUGGGACAUAACUGACGCUGAGGCGUGAAAGCGUGGGGAGCAAACAGGAUUAGAUACCCCAGUAGUC
RNAcentral lists this ribosomal RNA (439 nucleotides) under uncultured bacterium. RNAcentral's name for it is "partial 16S ribosomal RNA". It matches the Rfam family "Bacterial small subunit ribosomal RNA", at positions 339 to 795 of the family's 1533-position model. The record is from RNAcentral.